RNAcentral lists this ribosomal RNA (253 nucleotides) under uncultured bacterium. RNAcentral's name for it is "partial 16S ribosomal RNA". It matches the Rfam family "Bacterial small subunit ribosomal RNA", at positions 524 to 776 of the family's 1533-position model. The record is from RNAcentral.
UACGUAGGGUGCGAGCGUUAAUCGGAAUUACUGGGCGUAAAGCGUGCGCAGGCGGUUGUGCAAGUCAGGUGUGAAAUCCCCGGGCUUAACCUGGGAACUGCACUUGUGACUGCACAGCUGGAGUACGGCAGAGGGGGAUGGAAUUCCGCGUGUAGCAGUGAAAUGCGUAGAUAUGCGGAGGAACACCGAUGGCGAAGGCAGUCCCCUGGGCCUGUACUGACGCUCAUGCACGAAAGCGUGGGGAGCAAACAGG